RNAcentral lists this ribosomal RNA (497 nucleotides) under uncultured bacterium. Its description in RNAcentral is "partial 16S ribosomal RNA". It matches the Rfam family "Bacterial small subunit ribosomal RNA", at positions 28 to 507 of the family's 1533-position model. The record is from RNAcentral.
GAUGAACGCUGGCGGCGUGCCUAAUACAUGCAAGUCGAGCGAACAGACGAGGAGCUUGCUCCUCUGACGUUAGCGGCGGACGGGUGAGUAACACGUGGAUAACCUACCUAUAAGACUGGGAUAACUUCGGGAAACCGGAGCUAAUACCGGAUAACAUGUUGAACCGCAUGGUUCAACAGUGAAAGACGGUCUUGCUGUCACUUAUAGAUGGAUCCGCGCCGCAUUAGCUAGUUGGUAAGGUAACGGCUUACCAAGGCAACGAUGCGUAGCCGACCUGAGAGGGUGAUGGGCCACACUGGAACUGAGACACGGUCCAGACUCCUACGGGAGGCAGCAGUAGGGAAUCUUCCGCAAUGGGCGAAAGCCUGACGGAGCAACGCCGCGUGAGUGAAGAAGGUCUUCGGAUCGUAAAACUCUGUUAUUAGGGAAGAACAAAUGUGUAAGUAACUAUGCACGUCUUGACGGUACCUAAUCAGAAAGCCACGGCUAACUACGUG